UUUUAGUUGAUUAACAAGUUCUGAAAGAACUUCAUUUUCUGUUGAAAGAGAUUGAGAAGAUUUUCCAAAAGUAGGAAUAAUAUCAUCAUUCUUAAAAAUCGGAGAGGAUGAAGAUGGUUUUGAAAUGUUCUUAUCCUUACUUUUACUAUCUCGAUAUUCUUUAAAAGAAUCUUUUGGAAUAGUAGAAGUUUCAGAUUCAGAAUUUGAUUCAAUACGAUUAAGUUGGGAACAAACGGAUUGAAGAACAAUAUUUGUGAAAUUGUUCUGGGCUUGAAUAUUUUUGAUAUCUUUAGCAACAACUUGAGAUUCAUCAAGUCGUUCUUUAGAAUUUGGAACACGUUUGAGAGGUGAUGCAAGAAUUUCAGUUUUACCAUGGGUAAAUGAAAUUUCUUGUAGAGGAGGAUGAAUUGAUUGGAAAGUGUUUCCGUCAAGAGUUUUCCAUGAUUUUGAAGAUGUUUUUGUAGUGAAAAUUUGGGACUUUUCUGGUUGUUUUCCAAAAACUUUGAUUUGAAUCCAAUCAUAGAAACUUAAUUCUGUAGAAGAUUCAAAAUAAUCUUCCCAAAAUUGUUCUUUUUCUUUUGAAGAAAAUUGAUGUCUUAAAAAUUUUUCGAAAAUUUUUAACAUGAAUAUCUUGAUCUUGUUUAAACUCUUUUCUUCUGUCGAUUUCAGAAGAAAUAAUAUUACAUUGAUGAUUAAAAUCAGAAUUUGAAGGAGGAACCAUAUCAGAAAAAGUAGGAGACUCUGGUUGCUCAGUUUCUUCUUCUUUUUCUUUAGGUUGAUAAAAAGGAUUUGGAAAAAUAGAAGUAAAGUCUACUCCUUUGAAAGAUGAUGAUGUAGAAUUUCUUGAAGGUUGAAAAGAAUUCUUAGUUCUUUCUUCAGAUCUGGAUGAUCUAGAAGAGUUAGAUCUUGGAAUUCUAGAAGAAGAUCCUUGAAAGAUAACUUUAGCUUUUCCAUCGGAAAAAGUUAAAAUUUCAUUAGGAUUGGAGUUUGUUUGAGCUGGAACUGGAGCUUGAAUAUUUUCAAAAUUCCAUUCUAAAUUUCUGGAUUGAAGAUUCCAGGGAAUUCUUUUAGGAAUUUCUACACUUGAAUGAAAAUGAUUGACUUCAACCAAAAGACUUUCUUCUUUUGGAGAAGAUCUAAGAGCAUCGAUAUUGAGUUGAGUAUUCAUGAGUUUGUAAUAAAUCCUGUAAAUAACAGCAAAGGCAUUUGAUCGACUAUCAAACUCAAGAUUUCUAGUCUGAAUAUGAAGAUUUAGAGCAUUUAAAACUGCUCUAUCUGAAAGUUUUAUUGAAAAAUUUGGAUAACAAUUUGAAAAAACUGGACCACUUUCAAGGUUUGAUUCAAGAAGUGAAAGUAGAGAGUUUUUGAAAUUGAGAUGUCUCUUGUCUCUAAGAGUGAUAAGAAUAGGAAUGUCUAAACCAAGUCUAAACAAUGGUUUGACAGCAGUUUGAACAAAACCAACAUGAAGAUAUUUAAAUCUCUUUCUAUGAGAUUCAAUUGAUUCUUUUGAAAAUAAAUUGAUGAAUGCAUUUGAACUAUUAAUUGAA
RNAcentral lists this long non-coding RNA (1547 nucleotides) under Olea europaea subsp. europaea. Lineage: Eukaryota; Viridiplantae; Streptophyta; Magnoliopsida; Lamiales; Oleaceae. The record is from RNAcentral.